Molecule: ribosomal RNA, 301 nt
Filed under: uncultured bacterium
Lineage: Bacteria
Description: partial 16S ribosomal RNA
Rfam family: Bacterial small subunit ribosomal RNA
Source: RNAcentral
CAGUAGCCGCGGGAAUACAGAGGGUGCGAGCGUUAAUCGGAUUUACUGGGCGUAAAGCGUGCGUAGGCGGCUUCUUAAGUCGGAUGUGAAAUCCCUGAGCUUAACUUAGGAAUUGCAUUCGAUACUGGGAAGAUAGAGUAUGGGAGAGGAUGGUAGAAUUCCAGGUGUAGCGGUGAAAUGCGUAGAGAUCUGGAGGAAUACCGAUGGCGAAGGCAGCCAUCUGGCCUAAUACUGACGCUGAGGUACGAAAGCAUGGGGAGCAAACAGGAUUAGAUACCCGAGUAGUCCCUGUCUCUUAUAC